Molecule: ribosomal RNA, 544 nt
Filed under: Pseudomonas sp. B.Pat.11
Lineage: Bacteria; Pseudomonadati; Pseudomonadota; Gammaproteobacteria; Pseudomonadales; Pseudomonadaceae
Description: bacterial SSU rRNA
Rfam family: Bacterial small subunit ribosomal RNA
Source: RNAcentral
CCAAUACCGCAUACGUCCUACGGGGAGAAGCUAGGGGGACUCUUCGGGCCUUGCGCUAUCAGAUGAGCCUAGGUCGGAUUAGCUAGUUGGUGAGGUAAUGGCUCACCAAGGCGACGAUCCGUAACUGGUCUGAGAGGAUGAUCAGUCACACUGGAACUGAGACACGGUCCAGACUCCUACGGGAGGCAGCAGUGGGGAAUAUUGGACAAUGGGCGAAAGCCUGAUCCAGCCAUGCCGCGUGUGUGAAGAAGGUCUUCGGAUUGUAAAGCACUUUAAGUUGGGAGGAAGGGCAUUAACCUAAUACCUUAGUGUUUUGACGUUACCGACAGAAUAAGCACCGGCUAACUUCGUGCCAGCAGCCGCGGUAAUACGAAGGGUGCAAGCGUUAAUCGGAAUUACUGGGCGUAAAGCGCGCGUAGGUGGUUUGUUAAGUUGAAUGUGAAAGCCCCGGGCUCAACCUGGGAACUGCAUCCAAAACUGGCAAGCUAGAGUAUGGCAGAGGGUGGUGGAAUUUCCUGUGUAGCGGUGAAAUGCGUAGAUAUAG